Molecule: ribosomal RNA, 349 nt
Filed under: uncultured bacterium
Lineage: Bacteria
Description: partial 16S ribosomal RNA
Rfam family: Bacterial small subunit ribosomal RNA
Source: RNAcentral
CCUACGGGAGGCUGCAGUCGAGAAUCAUUCACAAUGGGGGAAACCCUGAUGGUGCGACGCCGCGUGGGGGAAUGAAGGUCUUCGGAUUGUAAACCCCUGUCAUGUGGGAGCAAAUUAAAAAGAUAGUACCACAAGAGGAAGAGACGGCUAACUAUGGGCCAGCAGCCGCGGUAAUACAGAGGUGUCAAGCGUUGUGCGGAAUCACUGGGCGUAAAGCGUGCGUAGGCGGUUUGGUAAGUCAUGGGUGAAAGGCGCGGGCUCAACCCGCGGACUGCACAUGAUACUGCGAAACUAGAGUGAUGGAGGGGUAGGCGGAAUGCUCGGUGUAGCAGUGAAAUGCGUAGAUAUC